GAUGAACGCUGGCGGCGUGCCUAAUACAUGCAAGUCGAGCGAACAGAUGAGGAGCUUGCUCCUCUGACGUUAGCGGCGGACGGGUGAGUAACACGUGGAUAACCUACCUAUAAGACUGGGAUAACUUCGGGAAACCGGAGCUAAUACCGGAUAAUAUAUUGAACCGCAUGGUUCAAUAGUGAAAGACGGUUUUGCUGUCACUUAUAGAUGGAUCCGCGCCGCAUUAGCUAGUUGGUAAGGUAACGGCUUACCAAGGCAACGAUGCGUAGCCGACCUGAGAGGGUGAUCGGCCACACUGGAACUGAGACACGGUCCAGACUCCUACGGGAGGCAGCAGUAGGGAAUCUUCCGCAAUGGGCGAAAGCCUGACGGAGCAACGCCGCGUGAGUGAUGAAGGUCUUCGGAUCGUAAAACUCUGUUAUUAGGGAGGAACAAAUGUGUAAGUAACUAUGCACGUCUUGACGGUACCUAAUCGGAAAGCCACGGCUAACUACGUG
This 497-nucleotide ribosomal RNA is filed under the name uncultured bacterium. RNAcentral describes it as "partial 16S ribosomal RNA". It matches the Rfam family "Bacterial small subunit ribosomal RNA", at positions 28 to 507 of the family's 1533-position model. The record is from RNAcentral.